RNAcentral lists this ribosomal RNA (398 nucleotides) under uncultured Choreotrichida. RNAcentral's name for it is "partial small subunit ribosomal RNA". It matches the Rfam family "Eukaryotic small subunit ribosomal RNA", at positions 30 to 432 of the family's 1831-position model. The record is from RNAcentral. Lineage: Eukaryota; Ciliophora; Spirotrichea.
GCUUGUCUCAAAGAUUAAGCCAUGCAUGUCUUAGUGUAAAUAACUCUUAUGAAACUGCGAAUGGCUCAUUAAAUCAGUUAUCGUUUAUUUGAUGGUCCCUUACUACAUGGAUAACCGUGGUAAUUCUAGAGCUAAUACAUGCUGGUGUGCCUGACUUUUCGGAAGGGCGGUAUUUAUUAGAUAACGAACCAAUAUUCCUCUGGUCUAUUGUGGUGAAUCAUAAUAACUGAUCGAAUCGCAAAGCCUUUGGCUGCGAUAUGUCAUUCAAGUUUCUGCCCCAUCAGCUUUCGAUGGUAGUGUAUUGGACUACCAUGGCUUUUACGGGUAACGGAGAAUUAGGGUUCGAUUCCGGAGAGGGAGCCUGAGAAACGGCUACCACAUCUAAGGAAGGCAGCAGG